CCUACGGGUGGCAGCAGUGAGGAAUAUUGGUCAAUGGGCGCGAGCCUGAACCAGCCAAGUAGCGUGAAGGAUGACUGCCCUAUGGGUUGUAAACUUCUUUUAUACAGGAAUAAAGUGAGGCACGUGUGCUUUUUUGUAUGUACUUUAUGAAUAAGGAUCGGCUAACUCCGUGCCAGCAGCCGCGGUAAUACGGAGGAUCCGAGCGUUAUCCGGAUUUAUUGGGUUUAAAGGGAGCGUAGGCGGGUUGUUAAGUCAGUUGUGAAAGUUUGGGGCUCAACCGUAAAACUGCAAUUGAUACUGGCAGCCUAGAGUACAGUUGAGGUAGGCGGAAUGCGUGGUGUAGCGGUGAAAUGCUUAGAUAUCACGAAGAACUCCGAUUGCGAAGGCAGCCUACGAAACUGCCACUGACGUUGAUGCUCGAAAGUGUGGGUAUCAAACAGGAUUAGAUACCCCUGUAGUC
RNAcentral lists this ribosomal RNA (460 nucleotides) under uncultured bacterium. RNAcentral's name for it is "partial 16S ribosomal RNA". It matches the Rfam family "Bacterial small subunit ribosomal RNA", at positions 338 to 795 of the family's 1533-position model. The record is from RNAcentral.